UACAGAGGUCUCAAGCGUUGUUCGGAUUCAUUGGGCGUAAAGGGUGCGUAGGUGGCGUCGUAAGUCGGGUGUGAAAUUUCGGAGCUUAACUCCGAAACUGCAUUCGAUACUGCCGUGCUUGAGGACUGGAGAGGAGACUGGAAUUUACGGUGUAGCGGUGAAAUGCGUAGAUAUAGUAAGGAAGACCAGUGGCGAAGGCGGGUCUCUGGACAGUUCCUGACGCUGAGGCGCGAAGGCCAGGGGAGCAAACGGG
This 253-nucleotide ribosomal RNA is filed under the name uncultured bacterium. Its description in RNAcentral is "partial 16S ribosomal RNA". It matches the Rfam family "Bacterial small subunit ribosomal RNA", at positions 524 to 776 of the family's 1533-position model. The record is from RNAcentral.